Long non-coding RNA from Siniperca chuatsi (mandarin fish), 2344 nucleotides. RefSeq lists it as uncharacterized. The transcript has 3 exons. The record is from RefSeq and is a predicted model, not a curated record. Lineage: Eukaryota; Metazoa; Chordata; Actinopteri; Centrarchiformes; Sinipercidae.
GGAUUUUCAUUUAAAUUUCAAUAUAAAGUAUGUAAAACUUCUGAAAUUUUACUUUAGAAAACAGCAUGUUUACCCAGCAGCCACCCUGUGUGCAGAAGCAGAACUACUCAUUUGUUUCAGUAGGCAGACUUGAAAAAAGGUGCAAUUGGAGCACAUUGAUUUUUCUCCAUGUUAAAAAGCUUUUAUUGACAUGGCAUUUUCUCACCAGAAAAGGUUACAGCAGAGUAAAGAAGAGAAGGAGAGAGAAGGUGAAACAUAAAGGGAUAAAAAAAGAUGAAGCACCAUGAUGGCUCUGAGCUUCCUGUAAAAUUCGCCCCACUUUAGCCCACUUUAGUGUGUGCUGUCCUUUGAAGUAACGCCUCUCCCAACACACACACACACACACACAGACACGAGAAAAGAUGUGACUGACUCUAUAAACCUUGAAACUCUGAGAGCGACAGCAUCAGAGGCCCCUCCGUAGUUCCUUUUAGUGAACAAAACAGUGAGGAAGGGAAGAGAAAGAGUCGAGGACGUACUGUAUUCAGAGCACAUACGACCACUAUAAAGCACCGCAUGACAGACAGACAGGCAGCAAGACAGACAGACAUAUUAGAGCCACGGGGAGGAUAAGUCUGGAAACCUUCAUCACCUUUAAAGGUUUACUCAUAAUGAUAAUCUCUUUGUGAAACAUCGUAAUUUCUCCAUAAAAAGUCAUAAAGCUUCACAGUGGCUUCGUCUCUGGAGAGCCAGAUGACGCCUUACUGCUGACACAGCACUAAAUUACCAUGCUCUCCCUCCUGCUCCUGCUCUGUUUUAAUGGAAAAACAUGCUCACUACUCAUACCUUAUUUCCCCUCUGUUUCUCCCCUUUUGUCUCUCUUAACAUGUUUGCCAUUUUGUGACUUCUGCUCAUCAAAUACCUUCAACACAGUCAAUACUCUGUUAAUGAGCAUUAGCUCCAUUUAAAUGUGCAUACUUUUAAAACAAAGGGCUCAAAGGAGAAAACUAUUGAUUUUUUUGGCCACUCACAUAUUGUGAGCACAGCACUGACAUAUCGUCACCUUUGAAGUUGAUAUGGCAAACAUGUUAGCAAACAGUUGCUCAUUUACACAUCCAGCAGUUACGGAGCAACAUUAUCAUUCAUUUGGAGUCGUGUUUCUGGCCACCUGGUGAAUGUAAGUCCUAUACUUUUUUUUUUAGCUCUGUUUUUGGUCACUGCCAACUCCUCAGGGAAACAUCUGGCUCUUUAGCUGCUAAAUGCUCCUUUGUGUUCAACAGCAAGUCGCCUACUGUGUCUGUCUGCUGAUGAGCAGGUAGUGUACAAUGGGUUUUUAGAGUUUUUUCAUGGAAAACAGCUGCCCAUUGCGGCCAAAAACGACGCUAUGAGAAUGGUGAGAGUGAACCAAAACAGUAAAGUUGUGGACCGCUAAACAAUGAGCUGAAACUCGCUAUAAAGCGCCGUAAAGCCGAGGGUGUUACGGACAGAACAAGACACCAAGAUGAGAAGGACAGUUUAUUGCACCAAAGGAAACUGGUAAUGAGAAGAGGAUAGUUCUAUCGUCCUUGGAAUGGUUGGAGAGGAGCUCCGGGGUUGUGGGGACACACACUGGAGACUGGAGAUACACAGGACCGGUAGCUGGAGUGACACAACCUGGAGAAGUUCGGGAAUCGGGAUCGAGGCUCUGGAGAUGAGUAGACGAUUUGCAGAUACGUGAUGGAGUCCGUGGCAUUGUGGAGGCAUGCUAUGGCGCUCUGUCCUUAAUCCAAACGAGACCGGACACUGACUGAGAGAUCCUGAAGGUGCUCGACGUGGAAAAGUGGAGUGAUAUGUGACAUGAGAGAACAGUUGGAAACUGAAAUUGCAAGGACCCUGAACGAGAGACUAAAUGUACAAAGAAAACAGCAGCAUCGACUGGGAAGAAGUCAAAGUCAUCAAACAGGAGUCAGUGGACGUCAAGAGAAAGAUCAAGGAGGCCAUUCACAUCCCUGAGACCAUCUUUGAACUGAAACAUGUGUUACGUUCUUACUCUAACACACAGCAUAUCACAUAAUGAUACUGAACCAGCUGCAUUUGGUGAAGAAAACUGUGAGAUGAGGUUGAAGAUCAGAAGCUCUGAAAGCUAGGUCCAACUCUCUCCAGGCACCUUCAGUCAGGUCUCAAAUUUAGAUCUUCCAAGUCCAUCUGCUGGAGCUUCCACCCAGUCAACCGCAGUUAUGAUUUAUUCGAUUUCUGGCAAAGUUCGGCUCAUGCUGUGUGGAACUGAAAGGAGGUUUUAUUUUCCUGUUUAUGCUGGUUUGUCAGUGAAUUCAGCAGAAUCACAGCAGUUCACUAAUCCUACAAACGACAGUGAAGAAGAGCAAGU